AGUGCCUUGAAUUACAGUCCAUUCCAGAAGGGACGCCUCAGCUUACAUCUUUAGAAGAAUUAUCUGUUCAGAAUUGUCAUAAUUUGAGGGCUUUGCCAGAGUGGAUACUCAAUCUCACUUCCCUUAAAACACUUCGAAUUUGGGAGUGCCUUGAAUUACAGUACAUGCCAAAAGGGACACAUCAGCUUACCUCUUUAAAAGAAUUGUUCGUAGGGAAAUGCCCUAAUCUGAGGGCUUUGCCAGAUUGGAUACUCAAUCUCACUUCCCUUAAAACACUUCGAAUUUGGGAGUGCCUUGAAUUACAGUACAUGCCAAAAGGGACACAUCAGCUUACUUCUUUAAAAGAAUUGUUAGUAGGGAAAUGCCCUAAUCUGAGGGCUUUGCCUGACUGGAUACUCAAUCUCACUUCCCUUACAAAACUUCAUAUUCAGGAGUGCCUUGAAUUACAGUACAUGCCAGAAGGGACGCAUCAGCUUACCUCUUUGAAAGAAUUGUCCAUUGAAAAUUGCCCUCAUCUUAGGGCUUUGCCUGACUGGAUACUCAAUCUCACUUCUCUUGAAACACUUCAAAUUUGGAAUUGCCUUGAAUUACAGUACAUGCCAGUAGGGAUUUCUCGGCUUACAUUCUUAGAAGAAUUAUAUGCUGACCGCCAUAAUUUGAGGGCUUUGCAAGACUGGAUACUCAAUCUCACUUCCCUCAAAGAUCUUUAUAUUUGCGAGUGCCUUGCAUCACCGUACUUGCAAGAAAGGAUGCAUAACCUCACCUCUUUACAACGAAUGAUAGUUGAAUCUUGCCCUAAUCUAAGUUCUUCUAGACAUUCUCUCAAAACACUUCUAAUUCGGGGGUGCCCUGAUAUAUACUCCUGGAGAAUGAGGCAUUCUUUGUCCUCUUUAGAAGAAUUGAAUGUUCAAAAUUGCCCUAAUCUGGGGAAAUUGUUGUAUCGCAUAUCAUUUUUAAUCACUUGCCUCAAAACACUUACGAUUUGUAAGUGCCCUGAAUUACAAAACUUGCAAAUGGUGGAUCGCCUUACCUCUUUACAAGUAUUGUCAAUCAGUGAAUGUCCAAAAUUGUCGGAAAGAUGUGAAAAGGAAACCGGAAUCUUGUGGCCUCACAUUGCUCACAUCCCAUCUAUUAUAAUUGAUGGGCAACAGAUUCAGUGAUGAUCAUACAAUAUAUAGGUAACAAUAUUUUUCUGCACCUCUAUUUAUAUUUUCUCCCUGUACCUGAUAAUUCUUUUUUUUUCUUCCUGGAUUUGGAUGAUUCGUAAUUUGUUGUAUGCAUGUAAUCCAAGUUGACUAUGCGUGUAAUUUGUUUACUCUGCUACUUCUUUCUAAGUGGACUAACAAUAUUGAUUUUUUCUUAUAUAGACAAAUUUAAAAAAAUUACAGCAGUAUGAAUCUACUGAAGUUAUCAAAUUAUUCUGAUUUUUCACUUUGUUAUAUCUAAAUGUCUAUUUUCACCUUUUUCAAUGAUGUUAAUCUGUGUUCAGAGGAUAUUGUUUAGGUUGACCAAAAGUUUGGGUUUUCUGUAAGAGGUUGUCAACAGCUUUUUGUGCAGUGUUGAUGUAAUUGUUCAGUUAUCUUAUCACUAAAGUUAGAAUGCCAAAAGGAGUCUUUAACAUAAGCAUAAAAGGGAGUUGUGGACAGAUUAUUGUCAGUUGUUUCACUUCCCCUGUUUUUAUUCAUUGAUCAAUGCAAAAUUAUCUUUUAUACAAUGAGGCAGCCUUGGAUGUUUGUGUCAUAUCUUUUUAGAAGCAAAACCAAAAUUUAAUGUGAAACACUGGUGAAAUAAGCUGAGAUUUUAUAGGCACUUGCUUUUGUAAGGAAUAUGUUAACAUUAUUUCUUUAUUUUUUACUACGUGUUUAUAAUGGGAUGAUGACAUUUUUUCCAUUGUUUGAAGCAGGAAGAUUUCAUCUUGCCAAUUUCCUUCCAAAGCAGACUGUUGUUGAAUUGAAACCAAGAGAAAUUUCUAUUGGUAAACUUUACCACUUAUUUGGUUUGUUUUACCAAUUUCAUUUACUUUCUAUAAGGAAUCCAUUAACACCCAACUUCUUACUUCUUUCUGCGUGUCUUUAUUGGGAUUAUGGACUUUUUCUGAUAGAUUGAGAGAGUACGAAUUGAUUUCAACUUGCCAAUGCCAUUGUGAAGAAGAGUACUACAAUCCAUGGAUUGGAAGCUUUACUCUCAACAGCGCCAUCACUAUCUAUGUUACAGUUUGAUGGCAAUUCUAUGUGAGAGUUAAAUUUUACUUUUGAGUGUUUGAAUUCAAUAAAGGCUAGCUCGUGAAAAUAAUUUAACAACUUGACCUCUGGUGGCUUUGUAGAUGACAGAAAUUGCACAGCAUGCAACUCUUUCACCUUUUCUUCCCAAGAAGUAAGUGAUCUUGAAUUUAAGGUAAAUUAGCUUAUCACUUAAUGCUCUAUAGAAUUUACUGUGCAUAGAAUGUUGAAUAUUUUUUCAUUGCUAUAACGUUAUAAAAUUUUCAUUUUCUAUAGAAAAAUAAGAGGUAUCAUGACUAGCUCACCAACUCCCUUUCGAGGCAUUCUUGAAAUGCAGGUAUAUUCCCAAAGCAUAUCUAUUGCAGAAGUGAUGACUCCAUAUUAUAGUUUCUUUAGUUUUUGUUCUUGAUCUUUUGCAUAUCUUUAGUUUUUUAGACUAGUUAUUUGUGAAUGAAGGCAAACAACACUUGCUAAGUAGCGGCUCGAGUGAUUGGGAGAAUAGUAUGGAGUUGAGCUGUUUGGAAAACCCCUUUGCUUCUUUCAAAAUCAAUGUCAAUAGUUCCAUAUUGGCCGUUCUUUGAGGUCUUUGAACAGUGGCUUCAAUUCUAGUCUGUAGGCCUUUACUUAAUUAACCCAAACUGUUAAGGGGACCUAAAUACAAAUGUUCUUUCCAAUGUAUAUGGAGAAGACUUUUGGGAUACUGUUCUGGGAUUUACUAUUUGCUACAUUUGGGUGCUGCAAAGUGUCAAAGAAUUGUCAAUCAAAGAAUGUCCCCAAUUGUUGAAAAAAUGUAAAAAAGAGACUGAAAUCUAGUGGCCUCACAUUGCUCUCAUCCUGUCUAUUUAUAUUGAUGGCCAACAGAUUCAAUGAUGAUCAUACAGUACAGGUAACCAUAUUUUUCUUCUCCUCUGUUUAUAUUUUCUCUCUUUAUCUUUUAUUUCCUUCUUUUUUUCUUCCUGGAUUUGAAUGAUUUGUACUUUGUUCUAUACAUGUAAUCCAAGUUGGUAUACCGAUUGCCUAUACUUUGUACAGAUAGCAUACUUAUUGUGAAAGCAUUAAAUUUCAUACUCUUGUACGGAUAAAUUUAAAAAAACAGUAUUAUAAACGUACUUAAGUUACUUAAUUAUUCUGAUUUUUAGUUGUUAUAUCAAUUCCCAACUUCUUCUGUUUAACAUAAACAUAAAAUGGAGUUAUGGACAGAUUAUUGUCAGUUGUUUCACUUUCCCUGUUUUGUGCAUUGAUCAAUGCAAAAUCAUCUCUUAUACAAUGAGGCAACGUUGGAUGUUUGUGUCGUAUCUUUUCAGAAGCAAAACCAAAAUUAAAUAGAAAAGGAUCGCAGGACAGAUAGCUUCUAUCAUAGAGAUUCUAAAUAAUUGAAUAACUGAUGAAAUAAGCUGAGAUGUGAGAGUGAGUAUUCCUGAAAAUUUCAACUAAAAGUUUGUUAGAAUAUCCAGUCAAGACUCCGGAGCUGAAAGCUAGUAAUAAUAGAAACAAAUGUGAAAGUCUGCUUGUACAUUUCCUGCCAUAUUUGUUGUGAUGAGGAGAUAUUGCUAUAGGUAAUAUUUUCGCCUCUUCUUCUUGAUGUUGGCACUUGCUUUUGUAAAGAAUAUAUUAACAUCAGUUCUUUCUUUUUGUAUGUGUUAAUAAUGGGAUGAUGACAUGUUUUCAUUGUUUGAAGUAGGACGAUUUUAUCUUGCUAAUUUCCUUCCAGAGCAAACAGUUGUUGAAAUUUCUAUUGGUAAACUUUACCACUUAUUCGGUUUGUCUUACCAAUUUUAUAUGCUUUCUAUAAGGAAUCUAUUAACACCUAACUUCAUACUUCUUUUUGCAUGUCUUUAUUAGGAUUAUAGACUUUUUCUGAUAGUUUGAGAGAGAACAUGCGGAUUUCAACAUGCCGAUGCCAUUGUGAAGUAGAGUACUAGAAUCGGUAGAUCGAAGGCUUUACUCUCAACAGUGUUAUCACUAUCUAUGUUACAGUUUGAUGGCAAGUCUAUGUGAGAGUUAAAUUUUGCUUUGGGUGUUCAAAUUCAAUAAAGACUAACUGAUGAAAAUAAUUGAAUAGCUUGACGUCUGGUUUCCUUUUAGGUAAAAAAGACUGCACAACAUGCAACUCUUUCACCUUCUUUUCUCAAGAAGUGAGCCUUGGUCUAAUGAUCUUGAAUUCAAGGUUAAUUGGCUUUUCAUUUAUUGCUAUGUUAUAUAUGAGGAAUGUGCUUUGUAUAGAAUCCUCAAUAUUUUUGCAUUGCUCUAACAUUUAAGAUUUUUGUUUUCUAUAGAAAAGAAAGAGAUGCCAAUGACUUGCCUGCCAACUCCCUUCCGGCCAUUUUUGAAAUACAGGUAUUCUCAAAGCAUUUUUUAUGAGGAAUGACUUGCUUUUGUAAAGAAUAUAUUAACAUCGGUUCUUUCUUGUUUGUACGUUAAUGGGAUGAUGACAUUUUUCAUUAUUUGAAGCAGGAUGAUUAUAUCAUGCUAAUUUCCUUCCAGAGCAGACUGUUGUUAAAUUGAAACCAAGAGAAAUUUCUAUUGGUAAAAUUUACCACUUAUUUGGUUUGUUUUAUCAAUUUUAUUUACUUUCUAUAAGGUAUCCAUUAACACCCAACUUCUUACUUCUUUCUGCAUGUCUUUAUUGGGAUUAUGGACUUUUUCUGAUAGAUUGAGAGAGUAAAUAUUGAUUUCAACUUACAAAUGCCAUUGUGAAGAAGAGUGCUACAAUCCAUGGAUUGGAAGCUUUACUCUCAACAGCGUCAUCACUAUCUAUGUUACAGUUUGAUGGAAAUUCUAUGUGAGAGUUAAAUCUACAUUGAGUAUUUGAAUUCAAUAAAGGAUAACUCAUGAAAAUAAUUUAACAGCUUAACCUCUGGUGUCCUUUUAGAUUACAACGAUUGCACAGCAUGCAACUCUUUCACCUUUUCUUCCCAAGAAGUGAGCCUUGGUCUAACGAGCUUGAAUUUAAGGUAAAUUAACUUAUCACUUAUUGCUCUAUAUAAUUUACUGUGCAUAGAAUGUUGAAUAUUUUUUCGCUGCUAUAACGUUAUAAGAUUUUCAUUUUCCAUAGAAAAAUAAGAGGUGUCAUGACUUGGUCACCAACUCCCUUUUAAGGCAUUCUUGAAAUGCAGGUAUAUUCUUGAAGCAUAUCUAUUGCAAAAGUGAUGACUAUAUAUUAUAGUUUCUUUAGUUUUUGUUCUUGAUUUUUUGCAUAUCUUGUUCCUUAAUGCUUGCUUAUAACAAUGGAUUUUUGGACUAGUUAUCUGUGAAUGAUGGCAAACAACACUUGCUAAGUAGUGGCUUGAGUGAUUGGGAGAAUAGUCUGGAGCCGAUCUGGUUGGAAACCCCCUUUGCUUCUUUCAAAAUCAAUGUCAAUAGUUCCAUAUUGGCCAUUCUUGGAGGUCUUUAAACAGUGGCUUCAAUUCUAGUCUGUGGGCCUCUACUCAAUUAACCCAAACUAUUAAGGGGACCUAAAUAGAAAUGUUCUUUCCAAUGUAUAUAGAGAAGACUUUUGCGAUACUGUUCUGGGAUUUACUAUUUGCUACAUUUGGGUGCUGUUAAGUGUCAAAGAAUUCUCAAUCAAAGAACGUUCCCAAUUGCAGGAAAGAUGUAAAAAGAAGACCAGAAUCCAGUGGCCUCAUAUUGCUCUCAUCCUGACUAUUUAUAUUGAUGGCCAACAGAUUCAAUGAUGAUCACACAAUGCAGGUAACCAUAUUUUUCUUUACCUCUGUUUAUAUUUUCUCCCUUUAUUUGAUAAUUCCUUUUUUUUUUCUUCUUGGAUUUGAAUGAUUCGUUCUUUGUUCAAUACAUGGAAUCCAAGUUGGUAUACUGAUUCGCCUACACUGUGUACAGAUAGCAUACUUAUUGUGAAAGCAUUAAUUUCCUUCCAGAGCAGACAGUUGUUGAAUUGAAACCAAGAGAAAUUUUUAAAUAUAUUUAUCUGAAAUAUGUUUAAUGUUUGUUUAACAUUAAAUUGAAAUUUAAUGUUGAAUUGAAAUUUCUAAAUAAAUUUAACAGCAUUAAUUUGACUUUGGAAGAUGCUAGUAUAAGGCCUUUGCAACAAACAUUGAAGAUGACGAUGACCGAGGCUAACAAGACAUCAGAAGAAGCAUCAUCAUCAUCAAGGAGCACAUGUCAUUCAUAUUCUUCGGCUACCCUUCCUCUCUCCAUUUUGAAGCGUCUGAGACUUAAAGGCAUUAAGGAUUUAGAAGAUCUGCUAGAAGAGUUCCUACUGCCGUAUUGCCCUAAAUUGGAAUUGUUACUGCCGCAAAAGAUGAGUUGCCUCACCUUUUUACAACAAUUAUGGGUUGAAAAUUGCCCUAAUUUGAGGGCUUUGCCCGACUGGAUACUCAAUCUCACUUCCCUUAGCAGUCUUCGAAUUAAGGAGUGCCUUGAAUUACAGUCCAUUUCGGAAGGGACGCCUCAGCUUACAUCUUUAGAAGAAUUAUCUGUUCAGAAUUGUCAUAAUUUGAGGGCUUUGCCAGAGUGGAUACUCAAUCUCACUUCCCUUAAAACACUUCAAAUUUGGGGGUGCGUUGAAUUACAGCACAUGCCAAAAGGGACGCAUCAGCUUACCUCUUUAAAAGAAUUGUGGGUAGGGAAAUGCCUUAAUCUGAGGGCUUUGCCAAGCUGGAUACUUAAUCUCACUUCCCUUAAAACACUUGGAAUUUAGGAGUGCCUUGAAUUACAGUACAUGCCAGAAGGGACGCAUCAGCUUACCUCUUUAAAAGAAUUGUCCGUAGGCAAUUGCCCUAAUUUGAGGGCUUUGCCGGAUUGGAUACUCAAUCUCACUUCCCUUACAAACCUUCUAAUUAAGGGGUGCUUUGAAUUACAGUCCACGCCAAAAGGGACGCAUCAGCUUACCUCUUUAAAAGAAUUGUCCAUUGAAAAUUGCCCUCAUCUUAGGGCUUUGCCUGACUGGAUACUCAAUCUCACUUCUCUUGAAACACUUCAAAUUUGGAAUUGCCUUGAAUUACAGUACAUGCCAGAAGGGACGCAUUGGCUUGCAUCUUUAGAAGAAUUAAUUGUUUACUGCCAUAAUUUGAGGGCUUUUCCAGACUGGAUACUUGAAUCUCACUUCCCCAAAGAUCUUUAUAUUUGCGAGUGCCUUGAAUCACCGUACUUGCAAGAAAGGAUGCAUAACCUCACCUCUUUACAACGAAUGAUAGUGGAAUCUUGCCCUAAUCUGAGUUCUUCUAGACAUUCUCUCAAAACACUUCUAAGUCGGGGGUGCCCUGAUUUAUACUCCUGGAGAAUGACGCAUUCUUGGUCCUCUUUAGAAGAAUUGAAUGUUCAAAAUUGCCCUAAUCUAAGGAAAUUGUUGGAUCGCAUACCAUUUUUAAUCCCUUGCCUCAAAACACUUAAGAUUUGUAAGUGCCCUGAAUUACAAGAAUUGCAAAGGAUGGAUCGCCUUAC
Molecule: long non-coding RNA, 7619 nt
Filed under: Theobroma cacao (cacao)
Lineage: Eukaryota; Viridiplantae; Streptophyta; Magnoliopsida; Malvales; Malvaceae
Description: long non-coding RNA (TCAC_LNC004200)
Source: RNAcentral